GGUGGCUCAGCGGUAGAGUGCUUGUCUUGCAUGCAUGAGGCUCUGGGUUCGAUUCCUCAGCACCA
RNAcentral lists this transfer RNA (65 nucleotides) under Dipodomys ordii (Ord's kangaroo rat). It matches the Rfam family "tRNA". From Rfam's summary of the family: Transfer RNA (tRNA) molecules are approximately 80 nucleotides in length. Their secondary structure includes four short double-helical elements and three loops (D, anti-codon, and T loops). The record is from Rfam by way of RNAcentral. Lineage: Eukaryota; Metazoa; Chordata; Mammalia; Rodentia; Heteromyidae.